Molecule: ribosomal RNA, 548 nt
Filed under: Bacillus anthracis (anthrax bacterium)
Lineage: Bacteria; Bacillati; Bacillota; Bacilli; Caryophanales; Bacillaceae
Also listed under: 2 other names
Description: bacterial SSU rRNA
Rfam family: Bacterial small subunit ribosomal RNA
Source: RNAcentral
CGGGAGGCAGCAGUAGGGAAUCUUCCGCAAUGGACGAAAGUCUGACGGAGCAACGCCGCGUGAGUGAUGAAGGCUUUCGGGUCGUAAAACUCUGUUGUUAGGGAAGAACAAGUGCUAGUUGAAUAAGCUGGCACCUUGACGGUACCUAACCAGAAAGCCACGGCUAACUACGUGCCAGCAGCCGCGGUAAUACGUAGGUGGCAAGCGUUAUCCGGAAUUAUUGGGCGUAAAGCGCGCGCAGGUGGUUUCUUAAGUCUGAUGUGAAAGCCCACGGCUCAACCGUGGAGGGUCAUUGGAAACUGGGAGACUUGAGUGCAGAAGAGGAAAGUGGAAUUCCAUGUGUAGCGGUGAAAUGCGUAGAGAUAUGGAGGAACACCAGUGGCGAAGGCGACUUUCUGGUCUGUAACUGACACUGAGGCGCGAAAGCGUGGGGAGCAAACAGGAUUAGAUACCCUGGUAGUCCACGCCGUAAACGAUGAGUGCUAAGUGUUAGAGGGUUUCCGCCCUUUAGUGCUGAAGUUAACGCAUUAAGCACUCCGCCUGGGGAG